UACGGGGGGGGCUAGCGUUGUUCGGAAUUACUGGGCGUAAAGCGCGCGUAGGCGGAUUGGAAAGUUGGGGGUGAAAUCCCGGGGCUCAACCUCGGAACUGCCUCCAAAACUCCCAGUCUUGAGUUCGAGAGAGGUGAGUGGAAUUCCGAGUGUAGAGGUGAAAUUCGUAGAUAUUCGGAGGAACACCAGUGGCGAAGGCGGCUCACUGGCUCGAUACUGACGCUGAGGUGCGAAAGCGUGGGGAGCAAACAGG
RNAcentral lists this ribosomal RNA (253 nucleotides) under uncultured bacterium. RNAcentral's name for it is "partial 16S ribosomal RNA". It matches the Rfam family "Bacterial small subunit ribosomal RNA", at positions 524 to 776 of the family's 1533-position model. The record is from RNAcentral.